CGGUUAACCUAAAUUCUUCCACUGCCUUCACCAAGUCAGAUUAUAAAGAAUUAGAUUCAAACCGGUUAAGGAGGCACCUAAAUCAGUCAAACUGAUUUUUCUUACAGGCAUGGGCUAACUCGAAUCAUUAAAUGAUCCAAUCAAAAAUAAUUGACCAAAUCGGCUAGAUAAGUGAGAUCGAUGGAAGGGAUAUGCCAUUAACUCGACAAAGACGCAUCAGUGCGAGUAGCUCCCAAUUAAAAACCACCGGUCGAGUCUGUCAAAUUUAUCUUAGACACCGAUUGGUUAAUCAAUUUUGAUUUUGACCAUUCUAAUGACUCGGGCUCAACCA
This 331-nucleotide long non-coding RNA is filed under the name Phoenix dactylifera (date palm). RNAcentral describes it as "long non-coding RNA (PDAC_LNC010836)". Lineage: Eukaryota; Viridiplantae; Streptophyta; Magnoliopsida; Arecales; Arecaceae. The record is from RNAcentral.